Molecule: small nuclear RNA, 76 nt
Filed under: Toxocara canis (dog roundworm)
Lineage: Eukaryota; Metazoa; Nematoda; Chromadorea; Rhabditida; Toxocaridae
Description: U5 spliceosomal RNA
Rfam family: U5 spliceosomal RNA
About the family: U5 RNA is a component of both types of known spliceosome. The precise function of this molecule is unknown, though it is known that the 5' loop is required for splice site selection and p220 binding, and that both the 3' stem-loop and the Sm site are important for Sm protein binding and cap methylation.
Source: Rfam by way of RNAcentral
CUCUGGUUCCUCUGCAUCCAACGAGAAAAUCUUUCGCCUUUUACUAAAGAUUUCCGUGCAGAGGAACAUUUAUGAG